UUUUUCGAGAGUUUGAUCCUGGCUCAGGAUGAACGCUGGCUGUGUGCCUAAUACAUGCAUGUCGAGCGAAGUACUUUUGUACUUAGCGGCGAAUGGGUGAGUAACACGUACUCAACGUACCCUUCAGAUUGGGAUAGCGGUUGGAAACAACCGAUAAUACCAAAUACUUGUAAUUAUCGCAUGGUGAUUACAUAAAAGGCGCGUUUGCGCCACUGGAGGAGCGGGGUGCGUAACAUUAGCUUGUUGGUGAGGUAACGGCCCACCAAGGCGAUGAUGUUUAGCGGGGUUGAGAGACUGAUCCGCCACACUGGGACUGAGAUACGGCCCAGACUCCUACGGGAGGCAGCAGUAGGGAAUAUUCCACAAUGGACGAAAGUCUGAUGGAGCGACACAGCGUGCAGGAUGAAGGCCCCAUGGGUUGUAAACUGCUGUGGUAAGGGAAUAAAAAAUAGCAUAGGAAAUGAUGCUAUAUUGAAUGUACCUUAUUAGAAAGCAACGGCUAACUAUGUGCCAGCAGCCGCGGUAAUACAUAGGUUGCAAGCGUUAUCCGGAAUUAUUGGGCGUAAAGCGUCUGUAGGUUGUUUAUUAAGUCUGGCGUUAAAUUUUGGGGCUCAACCCCAAAUCGCGUUGGAUACUGGUAAACUAGAGUUAUGUAGAGGUUAGCGGAAUUCCUUGUGAAGCGGUGAAAUGCGUAGAUAUAAGGAAGAACACCAACAUGGCGAAGGCAGCUAACUGGACAUACACUGACACUGAGAGACGAAAGCGUG
RNAcentral lists this ribosomal RNA (767 nucleotides) under Mycoplasma zalophidermidis. Its description in RNAcentral is "bacterial SSU rRNA". It matches the Rfam family "Bacterial small subunit ribosomal RNA", at positions 1 to 763 of the family's 1533-position model. The record is from RNAcentral. Lineage: Bacteria; Bacillati; Mycoplasmatota; Mollicutes; Mycoplasmatales; Mycoplasmataceae.